UACGAAGGGUGCAAGCGUUACUCGGAAUUACUGGGCGUAAAGCGUGCGUAGGUGGUGGUUUAAGUCCGUUGUGAAAGCCCUGGGCUCAACCUGGGAAUUGCAGUGGAUACUGGGUCACUAGAGUGUGGUAGAGGGUAGCGGAAUUCCCGGUGUAGCAGUGAAAUACGUAGAGAUCGGGAGGAACAUCUGUGGCGAAGGCGGCUACCUGGACCAACACUGACACUGAGGCACGAAAGCGUGGGGAGCAAACAGG
This 253-nucleotide ribosomal RNA is filed under the name uncultured bacterium. Its description in RNAcentral is "partial 16S ribosomal RNA". It matches the Rfam family "Bacterial small subunit ribosomal RNA", at positions 524 to 776 of the family's 1533-position model. The record is from RNAcentral.